RNAcentral lists this ribosomal RNA (614 nucleotides) under uncultured bacterium. RNAcentral describes it as "bacterial SSU rRNA". It matches the Rfam family "Bacterial small subunit ribosomal RNA", at positions 338 to 944 of the family's 1533-position model. The record is from RNAcentral.
CCUACGGGAGGCAGCAGUGGGGAAUAUUGCACAAUGGGCGCAAGCCUGAUGCAGCCAUGCCGCGUGUAUGAAGAAGGCCUUCGGGUUGUAAAGUACUUUCAGCGGGGAGGAAGGGAGUAAAGUUAAUACCUUUGCUCAUUGACGUUACCCGCAGAAGAAGCACCGGCUAACUCCGUGCCAGCAGCCGCGGUGAUACGGAGGGUGCAAGCGUUAAUCGGAAUUACUGGGCGUAAAGCGCACGCAGGCGGUUUGUUAAGUCAGAUGUGAAAUCCCCGGGCUCAACCUGGGAACUGCAUCUGAUACUGGCAAGCUUGAGUCUCGUAGAGGGGGGUAGAAUUCCAGGUGUAGCGGUGAAAUGCGUAGAGAUCUGGAGGAAUACCGGUGGCGAAGGCGGCCCCCUGGACGAAGACUGACGCUCAGGUGCGAAAGCGUGGGGAGCAAACAGGAUUAGAUACCCUGGUAGUCCACGCCGUAAACGAUGUCGACUUGGAGGUUGUGCCCUUGAGGCGUGGCUUCCGGAGCUAACGCGUUAAGUCGACCGCCUGGGGAUCGGCCGCAGGUUAAAACUCGAAAUGAAUUGACCGGCUGAGCGNGCGAGACGACGAGAGGAGAGG